Molecule: ribosomal RNA, 374 nt
Filed under: uncultured bacterium
Lineage: Bacteria
Description: bacterial SSU rRNA
Rfam family: Bacterial small subunit ribosomal RNA
Source: RNAcentral
AUUGAACGCUGGCGGCAUGCCUUACACAUGCAAGUCGAACGGUAACGGGCCUUCGGGUGCCGACGAGUGGCGAACGGGUGAGUAAUGUAUCGGAACGUACCUUUCAGUGGGGGAUAACGUAGCGAAAGUUACGCUAAUACCGCAUAUUCUGUGAGCAGGAAAGCAGGGGAUCGCAAGACCUUGCGCUGAUUGAGCGGCCGAUAUCAGAUUAGCUAGUUGGUGAGGUAAAGGCUCACCAAGGCGACGAUCUGUAGCGGGUCUGAGAGGAUGAUCCGCCACACUGGAACUGAGACACGGUCCAGACUCCUACGGGAGGCAGCAGUGGGGAAUUUUGGACAAUGGGGGCAACCCUGAUCCAGCCAUGCCGCGUGAGU